Molecule: ribosomal RNA, 119 nt
Filed under: Pteropus alecto (black flying fox)
Lineage: Eukaryota; Metazoa; Chordata; Mammalia; Chiroptera; Pteropodidae
Source: RNAcentral
GUCUGUGGCCACGCCGCCCUGAACGAGCCCGAUCCCGUCUGAUCUCGGAAGCUAAGCAGGGUCGGGACCGAUUAGUACUUGGAUGGGAGACCACCUAGGAAGACCAGGUGCUGUAAGUG